UGGGGAAUAUUGGACAAUGGGGGCAACCCUGAUCCAGCGACGCCGCGUGUGUGAAGAAGGCCUGCGGGUUGUAAAGCACUUUUAGUGGGGAUGAAAAGCCUGAGGCUAAUACCUUCGGGUCUUGACCUAACCCACAGAAAAAGCACCGGCUAACUCUGUGCCAGCAGCCGCGGUAAUACAGAGGGUGCAAGCGUUAAUCGGAAUUACUGGGCGUAAAGCGUGCGUAGACGGUCAUGUAAGUCGGAUGUGAAAGCCCCGGGCUUAACCUGGGAAUGGCAUUCGAAACUGCAUAGCUAGGGUGCGGAAGAGGGAAGCGGAAUUUCGGGUGUAGCGGUGAAAUGCGUAGAUAUCCGAAGGAACAUCAGUGGCGAAAGCGGCUUCCUGGUCCAGCACCGACGUUCAGGCACGAAAGCGUGGGGAGCAAACAGG
This 429-nucleotide ribosomal RNA is filed under the name uncultured bacterium. RNAcentral's name for it is "bacterial SSU rRNA". It matches the Rfam family "Bacterial small subunit ribosomal RNA", at positions 355 to 776 of the family's 1533-position model. The record is from RNAcentral.